UCCACAGAGAGGGUUCUACAAGUCCACAGAGAGGGUUCUACAAGUCCACAGAAUGGGUUCUACAAAUGCUACCCCCUCUAGUGAAAAUUCCCCCACAAAGAAGAUUGAUCCAUCAUAAACUGGACGUACACUGAGUGAACCAAACAUUAGGAACACCUUUUGUAAAAAGAAAAGAGCAGGUGUUCUUAAUGUUUUGUACACUCAGUGUACGUGCCCUUAGUAUACAUGAACACCUGCCCUGUAAAUGUCAAUACACGGCCCUGGCAAUUCUCCUGAAGGGACCUACUAUGCUAUAGAAGUGACCUUGAAGUGUUUAACUCGUUCCAUGGAACUUUCCUGCCUCACCUGAGAGUAGAGGAGGUGAGAGACAGCCCUUUCUGGGAAAAUAACACCAUUUAGUCUCCUCCCCCAAAGCUUAAAAUAAGAGCACACACACUCUUCUCUCUCACACACAAAGUUUAGUCGUCGGAAAGUUGGUCGCUGUGCUGAAAAUCUUCCAGAACCUCACAGAUCUAGGAUCAGCUCAUCCUCAUCAAAUCCAAACCAGGACGUUUAGAAUUCACAAGGGGAACACUGACCUCAGACCAGCGUUUAAACCCCACGUCUUCCUGCCUAGACACUGACUCUCUGUCCAGAGUUCCUCUGUGCUCCAGCCGUAUAUCCAUCCAUCCAUCCACACCCCAGCCAUCCAGCCAUGGGUCUGAUGAGCGAGGACAUGGAGUGCUGCGUCUGCCUCCAGCCCUACUCUCGCAGGGAGAAGAUCCCUCGGAUGCUCCACUGUAAGCACACAUUCUGUGGGCUGUGCUUGCAGGCGAUGUCCAGGCUCCAGAGCUGCCUACUGACAGUCUGCUGCCCCCUGUGCCGUUGGAUCACCUGCACCGAGCCCAGCCUCACCCUGUCGGGGUCGCUGUGGGUUAACACUGAGAUCUGGGACCAGAUAAUAGACACACAACAGAAAGAGGAGGAGGAAGAGGAGUAAGAGUGGAAGGGAGCUAACAGACAGACACAGACCACUACACAGUACACAUGGUCUCCAUCAAAGCAUUGUGACCUGAGGCUCAAACUACGGAAUUUCCUGAGGAGGAUGAAGCACAAUGUACUGUAAACCGAGAAGAGGAAGAGCAGAGAAGAAGAAGACUGUAUUUGACCAUUUCAGAGUAGGAGAUACUCAUUGAGUAAUGAAGAUAAUUCACCAAACAGGACCGACCGGUGAUUUUCAAAAGUGAGGCAAGAUUGAACCAAUUAUUAAUAUGCUUGGGUUUGAUUGACUUUGGGUAUGUGUAAUGUUCUCAGUCAACUUACCUGGUAAAAUAAGGAUUAAAUUAUAAUAUUAAUAAUAAAGGAUGGAUUGGGGGAGGGAAUAAAAAAUAAGAUUUUAAAUGGAUUGAGGAUGAAAGAAAGAUCAAGGAAGUUAUGGAAGGAAGGAAGGAAGGAAGUUAUGGAAGGAAGGAAGGAAGUUAUGGAAGGAAGAAAGGAAGUUAUGGAAGGA
Salvelinus namaycush (lake trout) is the source of this 1489-nucleotide long non-coding RNA. RefSeq lists it as uncharacterized. The transcript has 3 exons. The record is from RefSeq and is a predicted model, not a curated record. Lineage: Eukaryota; Metazoa; Chordata; Actinopteri; Salmoniformes; Salmonidae.